RNAcentral lists this long non-coding RNA (997 nucleotides) under Sinocyclocheilus anshuiensis. Its description in RNAcentral is "lncRNA (ENSSANG00000014689.1)". Lineage: Eukaryota; Metazoa; Chordata; Actinopteri; Cypriniformes; Cyprinidae. The record is from RNAcentral.
GAAAAUAAAAGGCUUUCCUUAGCGUAACUAGACAAGUGAGUGGUAAGCGGCUCUGACUGAGUCGAGCUGUGAAGAGCGAGUCAGAUUUUCCAAUAGUUCAUUUAUGAGAAGCACGCGAGCUCCUUCUCUGUCUGCUGAUCUACAGUAGUCUGACUCUGUAAGGACACAAUGAGAAGCACUUGUUUGUCCUGGUGCCUUUUCCUGCUGUUUGUCUGGUACCCAGCACGCAGCAUAGUGACGGCGCUUGAGCUGGAGGAUUCGGACCGGGACUGGGGUUCUGGAUUACACGAACUCCUAAGCAGCUUUCCAGCUGAUAGUCCAUUUGUCAGAGAGACGCCCGACAAGCCUGCCAACUGCACUCAGCGCUUCUGGCUUCCUCCAUCCUCCCCUGUGUGCUGGGAUGAUAUAGCGGGUCCAGAGGAGUUUGAGAAAUCACGCCUUCUCGUGCUGCAGAACAGGGCAGCACUGCAGGCUGUAUCCACAUCUAGUGGUCUCGAGGAAGGGGGUGCAUCCUAUGAUCAACAAGCCAGGGAGAACAUGCAGGGCGUCUGGGCUGACCAUCUCGCUGUGGCCCAGACCGCCGAUACAAUGCAGAAGGUGUUCACAGAUUUGGAUGAGAAGAGGAAGGAGGGGGAAGAGCAUUAUACCUUCUCAAGUCUGAAGGAGCCCAUUGAAAACACGAAAGACUCCAUUGCUAAAAAGGAACAAGUAGCAGCACUUCUAGAGAAACAUCUUGCCAAUCUGGAGAGGUCUUUGAACACUAUGCAACUUCGACUGGCCAAACUGCUACCCCAGUAAUUUAAUCUGAGCAACACAACCUACACAUGUGGAAAAUAAUAUAAUGCAUGUUUAUUAUUACAUUUUAUCAAACAAAUAAGACUUGUAUCACCAUAUACUGCAUGCCAACAGCACCCUGUAUUUCUCUUUUGGUACGUAUUUUAAGUAAAUGGGAUAAAUAUUAGGUACUGGCAAUAAAUUAUAUUUUUAUACCUCCAGG